RNAcentral lists this transfer-messenger RNA (401 nucleotides) under bovine gut metagenome. It matches the Rfam family "transfer-messenger RNA". From Rfam's summary of the family: Bacterial tmRNA, also known as 10Sa RNA or SsrA, is named for its dual tRNA and mRNA-like properties. Its role is to liberate the mRNA from a stalled ribosome. The record is from RNAcentral.
GGGGAUGUUUUGGAUUAGACAGGAUGUUCCGAUUGAGGCAGGUUGCGAGUACGAGAGCUGUUCUCGGUUAUCAACGAGCAAACAAAUUAAGUGCUAAUAACACUAUUGAUGCCACAGAUGCAUUCACAAGAAGAUAUGCAUUAGCUGCCUAAUUGCAGUUGGCCACUCAUGCCGCCCAGCUUGCCGGUUGUAUGGGUAAAAUAUGCAAGACGCAGUACGGUAAUGGCAGUAGCCGUAUCAAGAUAACUGCCAAAGGUUUAGAGUUUCCUUCAAAUAAAACCUAGGGCUGAAUUAUAGGGUAGUGAUUUCUCCUGAUUCAGUUGAGCGAAUGAAAAUCUACACUCGUAGAGAUUUGUUUUAAUCCAUUUUGGACAGGGGUUCGACUCCCCUCAUCUCCACCA